GACCGAACAAUGAGCAUCUCCUUGGAGGCACAAACCCACCCUCUAGUCCUAGGAAUCCACCCUACCCCACUCCCACGGCUGUCCUCUACCCUUCCCAUUUUUCCUUAGUUUUUAUCCGAAAGUAAAUAAAAAUCCCUCCUUCCUACCAUCAAGCAGAAAAAAACCAGCUGCAAAGAUCACACCUUUUUCAUAAGCCCGAACUUCUCAACAACAACAGCAGCAUCAACCUGAAACUCCAACACAAAGCCAGCUCUCAGCAGUAGCCAUUCCACUCUAAAGAGACCCCAAACUCCCACUGAAAUCAGCCACAAAACCUAGAAAAAUAGUCCCAAAAAGUCACUGAAAGCUCCCUCCCAACAGCAGCAAAAAAAAACCUCCAAAACAAAACCAAAAGCACAUAAAAGCUCCAUCCUUUCUAUCAUCAAGCUAAAGAACUCAACAAAUGUGUCUCCUCUCUCAACAACAACAACAAGCGGGCAGCAAGACAUGGAAGCAAAAAUAAGAAAAAAAUGUGGAAACAGAGCAGAGAAGAUAAAAGAAGAAGAAGCAGAAUGGAACAGAAACGACCCACCACAAAGAAGGGAGAACAAGGAGAAGCAGAGCAAAUGGCAAAAAACACAAAACCAAAAUGAGUAACAUCUAUUCCCUUCUCACCUUUCAUAGAAUGUCUUCAAUACAUGUUGGUUUUAUGCUUAUGAUUAUAUACAGUUAGUUCACAUGCCUAAAACAGAACACACACACAUUCAAAACACACAAAUCCCAGGUCAAAACACAAGAGACAUCCAAGUUCAUUUCAACAGCAAUCUAGACUCUAGAGUCUUAAAGUCUAGACCAUAUCAAGAAUACACUCUUCAAAACCCAUUUGUCCUAGUCUCUACCAAAAACCCACAGCCAAAAAUCCCAUCUUUUGAAACCUCAAACCCAAAAAAUCAGAAAAUGGCCACACAAAUCUAACAAAAUCACCAAGCCCACAAACUAAACAAAAAAGAGAAAUAGAGAGAAAUUAGAGUGUAAAAGGAGAGAGCUUCUUUGAGCAGAAAAAUAAAAGAAAAUAAGGCCCGUUUGGCUGAGAUUUUAACCAACCCAUUUUCAGUUUUUUAAACAUUACACACAUUUAUUUUUGCACUCACGUAUCUCAAAAAACUAAAAAAAAAAAAAAUUGCUCAAACUUUUCGAUUAAACGGCCCUAAGAGUUUGAUGAUAGGGUGUGAGGUGUCAGUUUCAUUGAUGCGCUAUAUAUCCCUUAGGCUCUGAUUGGUGGAGAUAGAUUUCAUUAGGAUAAGGUGGGUCAGGCAAACCCAAUUUUAGGCCCAGGUCUAAAUUUCGCUAAUACCAAACUGGAAUCCAAGGCCCGAAAUUCUCUUAAGAUAAAUUAAACUCAAGCCCAAAUUCAAUAAAUCCAAACAAAACAAGCCUUAUCUUAGGUCCGAAAAUACAUAAGCCCAUUCACAUUAAAGCUUUUCCAAAAUACUCUGUCCCCAAAACUCUCCAAAAUUGCAUUCUAACCCCAAAACUUUUGCAAGUUUCCCUUUUAAACGUCCAAUUUGACAAAAUUUCAUUUUGAACCCCAAAAUUUUCCCAAAUUACCUUUCACCCCUAAACUUCCUAAAAUUUCAUUUUAACCCUAAAACCUCAAAAAAUUGCACAAAGACCCCGAGGCCACAAAAAUGAUUUUUCUACUUUGCCAAAAAAAAAAAAAAAAAAUUUAUUCAAGAUCAAUAAUUUGUCAAAUGACAUUAUUUUCACAUCUUUUAUAAGUAUUUGACAUUAGUAUUUUUUGUUGUUUCCUUGUGUCCCAUUUUGCAUGAGAUGAAAUAUUUUGGAGAAAAAGAAUUGCAAAAUUGCAAUGCUAAGGAGUGAAUGCACUACACGCUGACUAUGAGAGGAUGGCCCAAGAAGUAUUGGACCAUGUCAUGGUUAACUGAACUACAAUUAUGGUGGCACAUGGAUUAUCCGCAAAGUAGAGAAAGAAAAACAUGGUACUUUGAUUGAAAACAAGUGCCACUUCUAUGCCUCCUUAGUAGGGGCACUUCGCACAAGUGCUAAUUCAAUUGCCUGAUGGUAAUUUUAUUAUUAUUUACGCUUCAAGUUACGGGCUUGGUUUAAGAACAUUAUGGAAGUGACAAUUUGUAUUUGUAAGCUUUUGUAUACCUAAGAACAUUAAUGUGUAAAGAGGUUUGAGCACCCUGUAUAUGACUUUGAACCUAAUUUAUAAAUAAAUACUAUAAAAUUGAAGCCUUUUAACUUUU
Molecule: long non-coding RNA, 2249 nt
Organism: Quercus robur (English oak)
Lineage: Eukaryota; Viridiplantae; Streptophyta; Magnoliopsida; Fagales; Fagaceae
Exons: 3
Source: RefSeq, a predicted model, not a curated record